Molecule: ribosomal RNA, 1914 nt
Filed under: Altosquilla soelae
Lineage: Eukaryota; Metazoa; Arthropoda; Malacostraca; Stomatopoda; Bathysquillidae
Description: SSU rRNA
Source: RNAcentral
UCGCUCUAUCGAACGCAAGGGGUGCGUGCAGACCACAGUGGCAUUGGGGCCGACCAGAGCGGCCACCGCCCGCACGCCCCGACCAAGGGAGGAGGAGGGAGAGAGMGAGAGGGAGARRGAGAGRGGGAGAGAGAGAGAGAGAGGGAAGAKGGAAAAAGGGAGCCAGCCAGCCAGCCAGCCAGCGGUCUCGCGCGAUGCCAGGCAGCCAGCCAGCCAGUCAGCCAGCCAGCCAGCCCCCACAUCACUCUCGAUCCCUCUGUCCACUCGUCGUCGUGCUCCGCUCCUCGUCCGUCCUCCUACCACCCACCCACACCGCUCUAUAUAACCCUCGAAGAUCGGAAGGUAGGCAUUUAGGCAGGCAGGCAGGCAGCCAGCCAGCCAGCCAGUGAGCCAUCCAUCCAGCCAGAUCGGAGAGGGACGGGCGGGCGGAUGGACAAUCAGCUAGUUAGCUAGUUUAGCUACCUGGUUGAUCCUGCCAGUAGUCAUAUGCUUGUCUCAAAGAUUAAGCCAUGCAUGUCUAAGUACAGGCCGAUCUAAGGCGAAACCGCGAAUGGCUCAUUAAAUCAGUUGUGGUUCAUUGGAUCUUACCCACCUACCUGGAUAACUGUGGUAAUUCUAGAGCUAAUACAUGCACCCCAGCUCCGACCGCAAGGGAAGAGCGCUUUUAUUAGAUCAAAACCAAUCGGGCCUCGGUCCGUCCAACCUGGUGAAUCUGAAUAACUUUGGGCUGAGCGCACGGCCCUCGCGCCGGCGCCGCAUCUUUCAAGUGUCUGCCUUAUCAGCUUUCGAUUGUAGGUUAUGCGCCUACAAUGGCUAUAACGGGUAACGGGGAAUCAGGGUUCGAUUCCGGAGAGGGAGCCUGAGAAACGGCUACCACAUCUAAGGAAGGCAGCAGGCACGCAAAUUACCCACUCCCGGCUCGGGGAGGUAGUGACGAAAAAUAACGAUGCGAGACUCUUCCGAGGCCUCGCAAUCGGAAUGAGUACACUUUAAAUCCUUUAACGAGGAUCUAUUGGAGGGCAAGUCUGGUGCCAGCAGCCGCGGUAAUUCCAGCUCCAAUAGCGUAUAUUAAAGUUGUUGCGGUUAAAAAGCUCGUAGUUGGAUCUCAGUUCCGGACCGACGGUUCACCGCCCGGUGUCUACUGUCGGCUUCCGAACAGCCCGCCGGCUCGCGCGGGGUGCUCUUCAUCGAGUGUCCCGAGUGGCCGGCACGUUUACUUUGAAAAAAUUAGAGUGCUCAAAGCAGGCCUCGCCGCCUGAAUAGUCGUGCAUGGAAUAAUGGAAUAGGACCUCGGUUCUAUUUUGUUGGUUUUCGGAACUCGAGGUAAUGAUAAAUAGGGACAGACGGGGGCAUUCGUAUUGCGACGUUAGAGGUGAAAUUCUUGGAUCGUCGCAAGACGAACUACUGCGAAAGCAUUUGCCAAGAAUGUUUUCAUUAAUCAAGAACGAAAGUUAGAGGUUCGAAGGCGAUCAGAUACCGCCCUAGUUCUAACCAUAAACGAUGCUGACUAGCGAUCCGCCGGCGUUAUUCCCAUGACUCGGCGGGCAGCUUCCGGGAAACCAAAGUCUUUGAGUUCCGGGGGAAGUAUGGUUGCAAAGCUGAAACUUAAAGGAAUUGACGGAAGGGCACCACCAGGAGUGGAGCCUGCGGCUUAAUUUGACUCAACACGGGGAACCUCACCAGGCCCGGACACCGGAAGGAUUGACAGAUUGAGAGCUCUUUCUUGAUUCGGUGGGUGGUGGUGCAUGGCCGUUCUUAGUUGGUGGAGCGAUUUGUCUGGUUAAUUCCGAUAACGAACGAGACUCUAGCCUGCUAACUAGUCGAUGGAUCUCCCAUAUGUGUCCAUCGCAUCUUCUUAGAGGGAUAAGCGGCGUCUAGCCGCACGAGAUUGAGCAAUAACAGGUCUGUGAUGCC